UCUAUUCAUUUAUUUUUAGUUUCUAUCAAUUGAUUAAUCCACUAAACAAAACUAAUACUCAUUCAAUUCAUACUAAACCCAAUUAACAUCACUUAAUGAUUAAAUCAAACACAAUUAACAGUAAAAUAUCAAAGGAGUUUAGGGUUACGAUGUGUGACUGUCAGCCUUCUCUCUCGUUCUUCUUCCUCUCACACUCAGACGACGGCGACGGCCGUAAUGCACUCUUCUCCGGUCAAGUCACCAUGAACCGAACCGGCCAAACCUCUUCAUCGUCUCAAUUUCGUUCCUAAUUUGUUUCGAGUUCUCUGACCUCUCUCCUCUCCAAUCGUCUAUGAUUCUCUCAGAUUCGCUCUCUUUGCUCCACUCAAAUCUCACUCUUUGAUCGGAGAAGCUCCGAUGACGAUUCGAAGAUGUAAGCAACGAAAGCAUAAGGUUGAGGCUGAGAGAAUUUUUGCAGAGUAGAGAAUUUGGAUGAAGCCGGAGUGAGGUCCCGAAUCUGUGAAGGAUGACAAAGAUGAAUCAAGGUCCCGCGAGAGAUUGAUUUCCGAUUGAAUUCCAGAGAGAAAAUUUUUUUGUCAAUCGAGUUUGUUACGUUUUCUGUUACAUGAUUCUUUUUGUUUUUCUCUUCCCUUUUCUGAUUCUUUUUCUAUUGGUGAAUAUGAAUGAUGAUGAAGAGGUUCUGAGAUCCAGGGGAAUUUUCGGUUGUGAGUUCUCCAAGAAAUUGAGAGAGUGAAGGUCGGUUAUGGAGGAUGAAGAUUCAAAGGUUCUUGGAGAAUUGAAGAUGAAGAGGAUGAAGGUUCUUGGAGAGAGUUUUUGAUCGUGAAGAAGUUCUCAGAAAGUGAAGAAGUUUGUUAUAAGGUGAGUCCAAGUUUGUUAUGAUUCUUUUCUUCGUUAUGCAGGUGCUGGCUCGGUUUAUUUGUGAAGUAUGCAGGAUUUUGUUGGUUCAACUUUGUGUAGGCUGGAAAUUGUUUAUGUUGCUGCACGGCUUGUUCACACCACUUUGUAUGGAUACUGAAUAAUUGGUACAGGUUUGGCAUGGAAAACGCUUGAAGCAAGGAGAACAUAGGAUAAGGCUUGGGAUUAGAACAAUAGGCCAAGAGUAUUUUUUGUGUAAUUUUGUAAUGGGCUUGAAUGGGUUUUUGAAUGUAACUUGAACAUUUGAAUCUUUUGUAAUGGAUAAUAAAAAGGAAAUUUGGAUA
Long non-coding RNA from Vicia villosa (hairy vetch), 1199 nucleotides. RefSeq lists it as uncharacterized. NCBI's taxonomy places the organism in Eukaryota, Viridiplantae, Streptophyta, Magnoliopsida, Fabales, Fabaceae. The transcript has 2 exons. The record is from RefSeq and is a predicted model, not a curated record.